AACGAACGCUGGCGGCAGGCCUAACACAUGCAAGUCGAGCGCGCCUUCGGGUGAGCGGCGGACGGGUGAGUAACGCGUGGGAAUAUGCCCUUCUCUACGGAAUAGUCCUGGGAAACUGGGGGUAAUACCGUAUACGCCCUUUGGGGGAAAGAUUUAUCGGGGAAGGAUUAGCCCGCGUUGGAUUAGGUAGUUGGUGGGGUAAUGGCCUACCAAGCCGACGAUCCAUAGCUGGUUUGAGAGGAUGAUCAGCCACACUGGGACUGAGACACGGCCCAGACUCCUACGGGAGGCAGCAGUGGGGAAUCUUAGACAAUGGGGGCAACCCUGAUCUAGCCAUGCCGCGUGAGUGAUGAAGGCCUUAGGGUUGUAAAGUUCUUUCAGCUGGGAAGAUAAUGACGGUACCAGCAGAAGAAGCCCCGGCUAACUCCGUG
Molecule: ribosomal RNA, 431 nt
Filed under: uncultured bacterium
Lineage: Bacteria
Description: partial 16S ribosomal RNA
Rfam family: Bacterial small subunit ribosomal RNA
Source: RNAcentral